UUUUAAAACUAAAGGAGUUCUCUCCACAGACCUUCUGCUUCUUUCCAGGUCACAGAACUCUGUAUGUGGGAGUUCGGAUGCCGCUUGGCCGGCAGAGCCAUCGGCAUCACCGCACUCAUGGCCAGAAGCACCGGAGACGAGGGCGAGGCAAAGGAGCCAGCCAGGGGGAGGAAGGCCUGGAAGCCCUGGCCCACGACACACCAUCUCAGCGUGUUCAGUUCAUUCUUGGCACCGAGGAAGAUGAAGAGCAUGUGCCUCAUGAGCUGUUUACAGAGCUGGAUGAGAUCUGUAUGAAAGAGGGAGAAGAUGCUGAGUGGAAGGAAACAGCCAGGUGGCUGAAGUUUGAAGAAGAUGUUGAAGAUGGGGGAGAACGCUGGAGCAAGCCUUAUGUGGCAACCCUUUCAUUGCACAGCCUGUUUGAGCUAAGGAGCUGCCUUAUUAAUGGAACAGUCCUCCUGGAUAUGCGUGCAAAUAGCAUAGAAGAAAUUUCAGACCUGAUCCUGGAUCAGCAAGAACUGUCCAGUGACCUGAAUGACAGCAUGAGGGUUAAAGUGCGGGAAGCCCUUCUCAAAAAGCAUCAUCAUC
This 585-nucleotide small RNA is filed under the name Pan troglodytes (chimpanzee). Its description in RNAcentral is "retained intron". The record is from RNAcentral. Lineage: Eukaryota; Metazoa; Chordata; Mammalia; Primates; Hominidae.